UCCAGACUCCUACGGGAGGCAGCAGUGGGGAAUAUUGCACAAUGGGGGAAACCCUGAUGCAGCGACGCCGCGUGAGUGAAGAAGUAUUUCGGUAUGUAAAGCUCUAUCAGCAGGGAAGAAAAUGACGGUACCUGACUAAGAAGCCCCGGCUAACUACGUGCCAGCAGCCGCGGUAAUACGUAGGGGGCAAGCGUUAUCCGGAUUUACUGGGUGUAAAGGGAGCGUAGGUGGCAUGGUAAGCCAGAAGUGAAAACCCGGGGCUCAACCCCGCGGAUUGCUUUUGGAACUAUCAGGCUGGAGUGCUGGAGGGGUAAGCGGAAUUCCUAGUGUAGCGGUGAAAUGCGUAGAUAUUAGGAGGAACACCGGUGGCGAAGGCGGCUUACUGGACAGAAACUGACACUGAGGCUCGAAAGCGUGGGGAGCAAACAGGAUUAGAUACCCGAGUA
This 446-nucleotide ribosomal RNA is filed under the name uncultured bacterium. Its description in RNAcentral is "bacterial SSU rRNA". It matches the Rfam family "Bacterial small subunit ribosomal RNA", at positions 330 to 792 of the family's 1533-position model. The record is from RNAcentral.